Molecule: long non-coding RNA, 2481 nt
Organism: Leptinotarsa decemlineata (Colorado potato beetle)
Lineage: Eukaryota; Metazoa; Arthropoda; Insecta; Coleoptera; Chrysomelidae
Source: RefSeq, a predicted model, not a curated record
GAUUUCCAGGAGAGUUCGGCUCAACAUCUUUCUACAGAGAGGACAUACAAAAUUAAAGAGAGAUGAAUUCAUACAUUAAUUCAAAGAGACCUAUGAGCUCCACAAGCCAAUGAAUAACCUUCACACUGACCUGGUUUAUUUAUCAAUAUGGCUGUGCUGGAAUGUUUUGUACUUCCAUAUGAGAUCUAUUAAACUUGUGCUGGAAUAGAGUAAGUUCAGUAAACUAGCAACAUGGCUUGCAACCAAAAGAUCUGGAGGUCGUGGAGGCAGAAAAUCACAAAUCAAAGGAAAUGGCUGAAUCUUCCCAACUGCAUGUGUUAAUGAUCUGUGCCCAGUCAUGUAAGAUCCUCCAUCAAAUGAUUGAUAAAUGGUUCCAUAACCAAAGGAGGGAGAGACCUGUUUGUUGCACCAUCUUCAAUUGAAUGAGAAUUCCUUCACAAGAACUGAUGCGAUUGUGGGCCUAUAAUACGGAAAGAAACAUCAAUAUGGAGAUACACUUCUGGAUGAUGUAGGUGGUAGUAUAUCGAGGAUGCAGAUGAGUCACUUGGAGUGUAAUUUCAUUUUUCAUUAAUGUGAAUAUUUUAUCUCGAUUUUUGUGUGAAACAUUUUCUCAUGUAAAUGAUUGAAAUAAAAGUACAUGAAUUUGUUUGGAAGUCAGUAAAUCCUACAAAGAAGGAUAUUGGUCAAAUAUUGGAUCAGGAAUCAAUUGAUAAUGUUUCUCUGAGGUACAAUAUUGUUACUGCCAAUACAUGUCUAAUAUCCUAAUUUGUGAGAUAGUUAUUCUGACUUGAUUUUUAUGAUGUGUGCAUGUCGAUUCUGUAGUGAGAAGGAAAUUAUUGAUAACAGAUAAAUUGUCAUUGGUUUAACUGAUACGACUAAAAAUGAAGCAUAUAUGUUUGUAUAGCUAAUUCAAAAUUCAUCAAUUACUCUUAUGUGUUUCCAAAACCAGAAGUUUCAUUCCCAUCAUUUUUAAAAUGGCUGCGGAUAUACGAGUAUAUAAUUCAAUAUUGUUGAAAAAAUUAUAUCAGUUUAUGACAAUGGACUAACCAUUAUUUUCAGUAUGAUACCUGAUUUGGUUUCUCACUCGUUUUCCUGGAUUCUACUAAUCUUUCAUAUUUAUAUUUGUUACUUCAUAACGAGUGUUCUUUGUUCUUUCUAUCUGGUUACAUGUUUCUGUUCUUCAUUUCCAGUUAUCAGUCUUCAGUUAAUGUAGUACCUUGUUCCAUAUUUAAAGUUUUUUUGUUAGUGUGUUGAUGUCACUACGUUGACCGAGUAUUAUAAAUUUUGAUUUUGUUCUUCAUAAGUUUAUUUCUUAAUAGGAUAUAGAAUACAAAGUGAUCUGUUUUUUGGGAGCUGUUAUGUAGCAAAAGGAGAUGCCGAUCAAUUAUUUAUCUGAUGAAAAUGAUUGAUUUUGUUGCGCCAUUUCUUUUAUUAUUGCUCUAUUCUAAACUGUAACAGAUAAAUAGAAAAUUUACAGGGACUUUUGCUGUUCUCCAGUUUUUAGAGGGAAAGCCAAAAAAGAUCUUUGCUGUGAAAUACCACUGAAUUGUGAGUUUAUCACUGUGUCUGUUAUGAAAUAUAACAAUGAGUCUCAUGAAAUGCAAUAUGUGGUUUUAAUAAAAUUGAUUAGGUGGGUCAUAGUGAAAUACGAUUUGUAGAAUGUGUCUCCAAAUCGCAAGAUUUUAUGAACUUUCUCAGGAAAGCAGAUGUGAAGUGUUGUACUGCUUAUAUUUUACAUCUUUGGGAAAUAUUACAUUGGGUCUUAUGAAAUGAAUAUGUGGGUCAUACUGAAAUAUGAUUUAUAGAAUAUACCUUCAAAUCGCAAGAUUCGAUGAAUUUCUUUCAGCAAAGUAGAUGUGAAUUGUUAUACUGCUCAUAUUUUAUAUCUCUAAUAGUUUCAAUAGAAUUGUGGGUCAUACUGAAAUACGAUUUGAAAAUGUGUUUUCAAAACGCUAGAUACAUGAUUCUCUUUCAGAAAAACAUAUGUUAAGUAUCAUAUUGCUAAUAUCUUAUAUUUGUUAUGAAAUAUAAAACUCGAUCUUAUAAAAUGUAGGUCAUAUUAUAUUAAAAUACAAUUUGUUGAAUAUAUCUUCAAAUUGCAAUAUACACGAUUUAAUUUCAGAAAUACAGAUGUGAAGUGUCGUAUUGGUAGUAUGUUAUAUUUGUUACAAAAUAUAAAACUUGAUAUUAUAAAAUGAAAUAUGUAGGUUGUACUGAAACUAAAUUUGUUGAAUGUGUCUUCAAAUUGCAAGAUACAUGUUUUUAUUUCAGAAAAACAUAUGUGAAGUGUUGUAUGGCUAAUUGUUAUGAAAUAUAACCCUUCAUCUUAUAAAUGGAAUAUGUGGGUCAUACUGAAAUACAAUUUGUUGAAUGUGUCUUUAAAUCGCAAGAUAUAUAAUUCUCUUUCAGGAAAAACGAUGUGAAUUGUUGUAUUGCUAAUAUUUUAUAGUUGUUGUGUAAUAAAACACUUGAUCUCAUGAA